GGGCAUAUGGUGUAGCUGGUUAUCACGCCCGCUUAGCAUCACGUUACUGUGAUCUAUCUGCGGGCGGUCCUGGGUUCAACUCCCAGUUUGUCCA
Molecule: transfer RNA, 94 nt
Filed under: Piloderma croceum F 1598
Lineage: Eukaryota; Fungi; Basidiomycota; Agaricomycetes; Atheliales; Atheliaceae
Description: tRNA-Ala
Rfam family: tRNA
About the family: Transfer RNA (tRNA) molecules are approximately 80 nucleotides in length. Their secondary structure includes four short double-helical elements and three loops (D, anti-codon, and T loops).
Source: RNAcentral